AUGGAUGACAUACUGGUGCACACGGAGACUUAUACAGACCACUUGUGUCUACUGAGGCAAGUCCUUCAGCAAUUGCAGGACUAUGAACUCGUGGCCAAGAGAUCCAAAUGUUCAUUUGGUCAGACACAUAUCACCUAUUUGGGUCACCACAUCAGUGAGCAGGGGAUGUCCACUAUGACAGAGCACAUUUAG
Molecule: ribosomal RNA, 192 nt
Filed under: Triticum aestivum (bread wheat)
Lineage: Eukaryota; Viridiplantae; Streptophyta; Magnoliopsida; Poales; Poaceae
Description: partial small subunit ribosomal RNA
Source: RNAcentral